This is a long non-coding RNA of Hemicordylus capensis (graceful crag lizard), 467 nucleotides long. RefSeq lists it as uncharacterized. The record is from RefSeq and is a predicted model, not a curated record. The transcript is spliced from 2 exons. Lineage: Eukaryota; Metazoa; Chordata; Lepidosauria; Squamata; Cordylidae.
GAUGAACCCUGGGGCUUUAACAUGCUUGGAGAAAGCUGAUUGUAUAAGAAAGGCUUUUCUCUACUUUUGUCCUGUACUAAUGGGAACGAGCCCCAGAUGAAGCUUGUGGCGAAACAGCUCUCUAUCCUGGGGUCGCUGUCGUGGUUUGUCCCUGGUGUGCCUUGUCCUCCAUCUAUUAUUAUCAGUCAUUACAGAGCAGGUUGCUUGUGUUCUUCGAAUGAAGGCUUCAUGAUUUGAACUACAUGCAUUUAUUACAUCUUACUGAAUACAUUGUCUCCUCCCUUUGUAUUUGAGGACUCAUUACCUGUACUGUAUGUACUCUUCAAUUUCUCAUUUUGAAGACAUCUUGGACUUUGUUUGGACAUCUGUAUAUACUGGUUUCUCAUUCUUUCAUUGUAUUUUGCAAUUCUACUUGGUAUCUUAUUGUAUUUUUAUAUGUGUUAUAUAGAUGUGUUUGCUUAUUUUCA